GUGCUCACUUCGGCAGCACAUAUACUAAAAAUUGGGACGAUAACAGAGAAGAUUAGCAUGGCCCUGGGCAAGGAAGACGUGCAGUUUCAUGAAGCGUUCCAUAUUUUU
Molecule: small nuclear RNA, 108 nt
Filed under: Microcebus murinus (gray mouse lemur)
Lineage: Eukaryota; Metazoa; Chordata; Mammalia; Primates; Cheirogaleidae
Source: RNAcentral